Molecule: ribosomal RNA, 496 nt
Filed under: uncultured bacterium
Lineage: Bacteria
Description: partial 16S ribosomal RNA
Rfam family: Bacterial small subunit ribosomal RNA
Source: RNAcentral
GAUGAACGCUGGCGGCGUGCCUAAUACAUGCAAGUCGAGCGAACAGAUGAGGAGCUUGCUCCUCUGACGUUAGCGGCGGACGGGUGAGUAACACGUGGAUAACCUACCUAUAAGACUGGGAUAACUUCGGGAAACCGGAGCUGAUACCGGAUAAUAUAUUGAACCGCAUGGUUCAAUAGUGAAAGACGGUUUUGCUGUCACUUAUAGAUGGAUCCGCGCCGCAUUAGCUAGUUGGUAAGGUAACGGCUUACCAAGGCAACGAUGCGUAGCCGACCUGAGAGGGUGAUCGGCCACACUGGAACUGAGACACGGUCCAGACUCCUACGGGAGGCAGCAGUAGGGAAUCUUCCGCAAUGGGCGAAAGCCUGACGGAGCAACGCCGCGUGAGUGAUGAAGGUCUUCGGAUCGUAAAACUCUGUUAUUAGGGAAGAACAAAUGCGUAAGUAACUAUGCACGUCUUGACGGUACCUAAUCAGAAAGCCACGGCUAACUACGU